AGAGACCUAUUAUUGACCUAUAUGUUCUUUUGCAGUGUGGACAUCGAUUUCCAGAUGGAAGAUGGUCCCUGUCAGGGUUGGCUUGACGCACCUCUUUCCUCCUGACACAUUUCUCCCUUUUGCCCUCCAUUUGUGCCUCUUUGAAUUCCACAGCACUGUUGGUCACAGCUGACCUCUACUUAGAACAGUCAAGGGCCAGAGCUUCCCAGUUCUCAGUCUCUAUAACAUAGUUUUUUAGGUUGGCUUUAAGCCCAUUUUAAAUGUCUUUUCCUGUCCACUGAAAUUCCAUUUUCCAUUCUUGAGUUGAGAGUAGAGUUACUGCUUUGGGAGACGGUGAUCGGGCAUUCAGAAAAUAUGACAUUCAGUCCAGCGGAGUUGAUGGCUUAGGAGCAUUGCUUCAAUCCUGGUGGUCUUUGCUUCUUCCAGCAAGCUGACAUUUGUCCGCCUGCCUUCCCAGGAGAUUUGCAGGAUUUUUCGGAGGCAACGCUGGUGAAAUUAUUCCAGAAGCUGAGAGUGACAUUUUGCAGGCGUAUAACAGGGUUGGGAGGACAAUGGCUUUAUAAACAAGCAUCUUGGUUUCCCUACGUACGUCCUGAUCCUCAAACACUUUCUGCUUCAUUUGGAAAAAUGCUGCACUUGCAGAGCUCAGGCUGUGUUGUAUUUUAAUUUUUGUCAAGAGGUGACUGCCAAAGUAGUGGAAAUAGUCAUUUUUUUAAUGUUACACCAUUAAGCUGUAUUUCUGGCAUUGCAGAAUGCCAUACCCAUUGCUGGUCUGCCACCUCACCAUGAUUAAACCAUUAGGGGUUAUUGAUGGGGGAAAGAGUCUGGGAGCUCACAACCUCUGAGGAUGCGUGCCAUAGAUGUGGGUGAAAAGUCAGGAGAGAAUACUUCUGGAACAUGGCCAUACAGCCUGGAAAACAUACAACAACCCAGUCUGGGAGCUGCUAUGGCAAAGGGUAAGUGGAACAGCAGGAGAGCAGAGUUAACUUGAUUUAGCUCCAUGUUAAAAAAUGUCUGGGGAUCCUUCAGAGUUUGUCCCAAACUCCAGAGCAGCAUUAUAACUUCAUCCCAGAUUGGACAGUAGAACUGGGUGAAUCAGGAUGCUAUUCCACACAGGCCACUACUGUCAUCCCUUUACGUCGUAUUCAUCAGUGCAGAGAAAGGGAGAUGGAUUGGGCCCACAUUACCAUCAUGGUCACUGCAGAUAGCCACAA
This 1214-nucleotide long non-coding RNA is filed under the name Anolis carolinensis (green anole). RNAcentral's name for it is "lncRNA (ENSACAG00000040183.1)". Lineage: Eukaryota; Metazoa; Chordata; Lepidosauria; Squamata; Anolidae. The record is from RNAcentral.